CAGCCGCCACGGGAAUACGAAGGGGGCUAGCGUUGUUCGGAAUUACUGGGCGUAAAGCGCAUGCAGGCGGCUCGAUAAAUUAGAAGUGAAAGCCUUGGGCUUAACCUGAGAAUUGCUUUUAAGACUGUCGAGCUAGAAUCCAGAAGAGGGUAGCGGAAUUCCGAGUGUAGAGGUGAAAUUCGUAGAUAUUCGGAAGAACACCAGUGGCGAAGGCGGCCCGCUGGACAUGUAUUGACGCUGAGGUGCGAAAGCGUGGGGAGCAAACAGGAUUAGAUACCCCCGUAGUCCCUGUCUCUUAUAC
This 301-nucleotide ribosomal RNA is filed under the name uncultured bacterium. RNAcentral describes it as "partial 16S ribosomal RNA". It matches the Rfam family "Bacterial small subunit ribosomal RNA", at positions 509 to 807 of the family's 1533-position model. The record is from RNAcentral.